This 372-nucleotide ribosomal RNA is filed under the name uncultured organism. RNAcentral describes it as "bacterial SSU rRNA". It matches the Rfam family "Bacterial small subunit ribosomal RNA", at positions 526 to 896 of the family's 1533-position model. The record is from RNAcentral.
CGGAGGGGGCGAGCGUUAUUCGGAAUUAUUGGGCGUAAAGGGCGCGUAGGCGGCUCUACAAGUCAAAGGUGAAAUCCCUCGGCUCAACUGAGGAACUGCCUUUGAAACUGUAAAGCUUGAGUCCGGGAGGGGGUAGCGGAAUUCCCAGUGUAGCGGUGAAAUGCGUAGAUAUUGGGAGGAACACCAGUGGCGAAGGCGGCUACCUGGACCGGAACUGACGCUGAUGCGCGAAAGCGUGGGUAGCAAACAGGAUUAGAUACCCUGGCAGUCCACGCUGUAAACGAUGGGUGCUCGGUGUCGCGGGUAUCGACCCCUGCGGUGCCUUAGCCAACGCGUUAAGCACCCCGCCUGGGGAGUACGGUCGCAAGGCUG